Non-coding RNA from Podospora conica, 74 nucleotides. NCBI's taxonomy places the organism in Eukaryota, Fungi, Ascomycota, Sordariomycetes, Sordariales, Podosporaceae. The record is from the annotation of a GenBank genome assembly.
GGUUCGAUGGUGUAGUUGGUUAUCACGUUCGCCUCACACGCGAAAGGUCCUGAGUUCGAGCCUCAGUCGAAUCA